AGCAGCCGCGGUAAUUCCAGCUCCAAUAGCGUAUAUUAAAGUUGUUGCAGUUAAAAAGCUCGUAGUUGAAUUUCGGGAUCAAUAUUUUGGUCGUGCCAUUGGUACGUACUGGCAUUAUUGAUUCCUACCUUCUGAAGAACCUUGAUGUCAUUAAUUUGGUGUCUUGGGGAAUCAGGACUGUUACUUUGAAAAAAUUAGAGUGUUUAAAGCAGGCUUGUGCUUGAAUACAUUAGCAUGGAAUAAUGAAAUAGGACGUUUGAUUCUAUUUUGUUGGUUUCUAGGAUCGACGUAAUGAUUAAUAGGGAUAGUUGGGGGCAUUAGUAUUCAAUUGUCAGAGGUGAAAUUCUUGGAUUUAUUGAAGACUAACUACUGCGAAAGCAUUUGCCAAGGAUGUUUUCAUUAAUCAAGAACGAAAGUUAGGGGAUCGAAGACGAUCAGAUACCGUCGUAGUCUUAACCAUAAACUAUGCCGACUAGGGAUCGGAUGAUGUUAAUUUUUUAAUGACUCAUUCGGCGCCUUACG
RNAcentral lists this ribosomal RNA (522 nucleotides) under uncultured Glomeraceae. Its description in RNAcentral is "SSU rRNA". It matches the Rfam family "Eukaryotic small subunit ribosomal RNA", at positions 569 to 1092 of the family's 1831-position model. The record is from RNAcentral. Lineage: Eukaryota; Fungi; Glomeromycota; Glomeromycetes; Glomerales; Glomeraceae.